RNAcentral lists this unclassified non-coding RNA (253 nucleotides) under uncultured Cellvibrionales bacterium. RNAcentral's name for it is "contains 16S-23S intergenic spacer region". It matches the Rfam family "Bacterial small subunit ribosomal RNA", at positions 524 to 776 of the family's 1533-position model. Lineage: Bacteria; Pseudomonadati; Pseudomonadota; Gammaproteobacteria; Cellvibrionales. The record is from RNAcentral.
UACAGAGGGUGCAAGCGUUAAUCGGAAUUACUUGGCGUAAAGCGCGCGUAGGUGGUUUGUUAAGCUAGAUGUGAAAGCCCAGGGCUCAACCUUGGGACUGCAUUUAGAACUGGCAAGCUAGAGUACGGCAGAGGAGUGUGGAAUUUCCGGUGUAGCGGUGAAAUGCGUAGAGAUCGGAAGGAACACCAGUGGCGAAGGCGACACUCUGGGCUGAUACUGACGCUGAGGUGCGAAAGCGUGGGGAGCAAACAGG